GGAAUUGGCUGAGUAGUCGCUGCUUCGUUGACGUCCCUUCAAACUCGUCUGUAUAGGCAAGGGUGGGGGAGACUGACGGAGGGGAGGAAAGUCCGGGCUCCAUAGAGCAGGGUGCCAGGUAACGCCUGGGGGCUGCCGUUUUAAGACGGCGGUCACGACAAGUGCAGCAGAGAGAAAACCGCCGAUGGCCUCUUUUAUAGAUGGCACAGGUAAGGGUGAAAGGGUGCGGUAAGAGCGCACCGUACGUCUGGUAACAGUGCGUAGCAGGGUAAACUCCACUCGGAGCAAGACCAAAUAGGCCUUCACACAGCGCGGCUCGCGUUAGGAGGCGGGUAGGUUGCUUGAGCCAGUGAGCGAUUGCUGGCCUAGACGAAUGGCUACUACCGCGCAAGCGGAUACAGAACCCGGCUUAUAGGCCAAUUCCCUCU
This 428-nucleotide RNase P RNA is filed under the name Vibrio sp. qd031. RNAcentral describes it as "Bacterial RNase P class A". It matches the Rfam family "Bacterial RNase P class A". Rfam says of the family: Ribonuclease P (RNase P) is a ubiquitous endoribonuclease, found in archaea, bacteria and eukarya as well as chloroplasts and mitochondria. Its best characterised activity is the generation of mature 5'-ends of tRNAs by cleaving the 5'-leader elements of precursor-tRNAs. The record is from Rfam by way of RNAcentral. Lineage: Bacteria; Pseudomonadati; Pseudomonadota; Gammaproteobacteria; Vibrionales; Vibrionaceae.